UACGGAGGGUGCAAGCGUUAUCCGGCUUCACUGGGUUUAAAGGGGGCGUAGGAGGGCAGGUAAGUCAGUGGUGAAAUCUUCGAGCUUAACUCGGAAACUGCCGUUGAUACUAUCUGUCUUGAAUACCGUGGAGGUGAGCGGAAUAUGUCAUGUAGCGGUGAAAUGCUUAGAUAUGACAUAGAACACCAAUUGCGAAGGCAGCUCGCUACACGAAUAUUGACUCUGAGGCACGAAAGCGUGGGGAUCAAACAGG
RNAcentral lists this ribosomal RNA (253 nucleotides) under uncultured bacterium. RNAcentral describes it as "partial 16S ribosomal RNA". It matches the Rfam family "Bacterial small subunit ribosomal RNA", at positions 524 to 776 of the family's 1533-position model. The record is from RNAcentral.